AGUGAACGCUGGCGGUAGGCCUAACACAUGCAAGUCGAACGGCAGCACAGUAAGAGCUUGCUCUUACGGGUGGCGAGUGGCGGACGGGUGAGGAAUACAUCGGAAUCUACUUUUUCGUGGGGGAUAACGUAGGGAAACUUACGCUAAUACCGCAUACGACCUACGGGUGAAAGCAGUGGAUCUUCGGACCUUGCGCGAUUGAAUGAGCCGAUGUCGCAUUAGCUAGUUGGCGGGGUAAAGGCCCACCAAGGCGACGAUCCGUAGCUGGUCUGAGAGGAUGAUCAGCCACACUGGAACUGGGACGCGGUCCAGACUCCUACGGGAGGCAGCAGUGGGGAAUAUUGGACAAUGGGCGAAAGCCUGAUCCAGCCAUACCGCGUGGGUGAAGAAGGCCUUCGGGUUGUAAAGCCCUUUUGUUGGGAAAGAAGAGCAGCAGGUUAAUACCCCGCUGUUCUGACGGUACCCAAAGAAUAAGCACCGGCUAACUUCGUG
RNAcentral lists this ribosomal RNA (492 nucleotides) under uncultured bacterium. RNAcentral describes it as "partial 16S ribosomal RNA". It matches the Rfam family "Bacterial small subunit ribosomal RNA", at positions 29 to 507 of the family's 1533-position model. The record is from RNAcentral.